This 348-nucleotide unclassified non-coding RNA is filed under the name soil metagenome. RNAcentral describes it as "partial contains 5.8S ribosomal RNA, internal transcribed spacer 2, and large subunit ribosomal RNA". The stretch from base 1 to 120 matches the Rfam family "5.8S ribosomal RNA", at positions 35 to 154 of the family's 154-position model. The record is from RNAcentral.
GAUGAAGAACGUAGCGAAAUGCGAUAAGUAAUGUGAAUUGCAGAAUUCAAUGAAUCAUCGAAUCUUUGAACGCACAUUGCGCCCGCCAGUAUUCUGGCGGGCAUGCCUGUCUGAGCGUCAUUUCAACCCUCAUGCCCCUAGGGCGUGGUGUUGGGGAUCGGCCAAAGCCCGCGAGGGACGGCCGGCCCCUAAAUCUAGUGGCGGACCCGUCGUGGCCUCCUCUGCGAAGUAGUGAUAUUCCGCAUCGGAGAGCGAUGAGCCCCUGCCGUUAAACCCCCAACUUUCCAAGGUUGACCUCAGAUCAGGUAGGAAUACCCGCUGAACUUAAGCAUAUCAAUAAGCGGAGGA